AAUCGAUCUUUAUGGGAAGUGUCUAAAAAGCAUAUUCUAAAAAUAUAUGAAAGCAGGAACAAAAGUAAUACAGGUUUCUGAAGAAAUUCUACCAUCAAAUUAGAAUUAAAUGAAACAACAAAUAAUAGUAGGGAUACAAUAAUAUAAAUGCACGAUAUUUUUACCAUGAAUAUAAAAGCUUUUAAAAUAAAUAAAUAUUAAGAUAUUUUAAAUUCAAAAGCAAUAGAAAAGGCCUAUUAAUCAUUAAAUAUACAAAGAAUAGAAAAAAUUUAUUUAUUACAAGAACGCAGGUGUUCUAAAACUGUUUAUUAUAAAUUUGAUGUACACUGAAAUCUUAUAUUUAUUGAAGAGU
This 352-nucleotide unclassified non-coding RNA is filed under the name Bombus terrestris (buff-tailed bumblebee). RNAcentral's name for it is "misc RNA ENSBTSG00005024221.1". The record is from RNAcentral. Lineage: Eukaryota; Metazoa; Arthropoda; Insecta; Hymenoptera; Apidae.